UGAAUGAGGAGCAGGAGGGAGAGGAAGAUGGAGGGGGGGGAGACACAGAGAGAGCUGCGUUAGAGCGACCCGCUUUGGCAGUGACUUCACCUCCACUAAGUAGCGGCUCAGAUCACAGGCCCUCAGCUACAGGGCAAGCAACUGUCACCCUGUGGGACCACAGCCCUCAGUGCUGGCUGCCCAGGCUUCCUCAUGGCCAGACCCCUUGGCAAGGCGAGUCCUGAGGGAAAAGUCAAAGUUCCACUGUCCAGUGUCAUCACAUUCAAAUCCUGCAGUGAC
This is a long non-coding RNA of Falco peregrinus (peregrine falcon), 279 nucleotides long. RefSeq lists it as uncharacterized. The transcript is spliced from 3 exons. NCBI's taxonomy places the organism in Eukaryota, Metazoa, Chordata, Aves, Falconiformes, Falconidae. The record is from RefSeq and is a predicted model, not a curated record.